AUUGAACGCUGGCGGCAGGCUUAACACAUGCAAGUCGAGCGAGCGGCGGACGGGUGAGUAAUGUCUGGGAAACUGCCUGAUGGAGGGGGAUAACUACUGGAAACGGUAGCUAAUACCGCAUACCAUCAGAUGUGCCCAGAUGGGAUUAGCUAGUAGGUGGGGUAAUGGCUCACCAAGGCGACGCGCCGUAGCUGGUUUGAGAGGACGACCAGCCACACUGGGACUGAGACACGGCCCAGACUCCUACGGGAGGCAGCAGUGGGGAAUUUUGGACAAUGGGUGAAACCCUGAUCCAGCCAUCCCGCGUGUGUGAAGAAGGCCUUCGGGUUGUAAAUCACUUUCAGCGAGGAGGCGUUACUCGCAGAAGAAGCACCGGCUAACUCCGUGCCAGCAGCCGCGGUAAUUC
RNAcentral lists this ribosomal RNA (406 nucleotides) under uncultured bacterium. Its description in RNAcentral is "partial 16S ribosomal RNA". It matches the Rfam family "Bacterial small subunit ribosomal RNA", at positions 30 to 526 of the family's 1533-position model. The record is from RNAcentral.